GUGCUCGUUUUGGCAGCACAUAUACUAAAAUUGGAACGACACAGAGAAGAUUAGCAUGGCCCCUGCACAAGGAUGACACGCAAAUUUGUGAAGUGUUCCAUAUUUUU
Molecule: small nuclear RNA, 107 nt
Organism: Homo sapiens (human)
Lineage: Eukaryota; Metazoa; Chordata; Mammalia; Primates; Hominidae
Source: Ensembl